UACGGAGGAUCCGAGCGUUAUCCGGAUUUAUUGGGUUUAAAGGGUGCGCAGGCGGGAGAUUAAGUCGGCGGUGAAAUUUUGCAGCUCAACUGUAAAAGUGCCUUCGAAACUGGUUUCCUUGAGUGUAGAUGAAGUAGGCGGAAUUUGUGGUGUAGCGGUGAAAUGCUUAGAUAUCACGAGGAACUCCGAUUGCGCAGGCAGCUUACUAAACUACUACUGACGCUCAGGCACGAAGGCGUGGGGAUCAAACAGGAUUAGAUACCCGUGUAGU
RNAcentral lists this ribosomal RNA (271 nucleotides) under uncultured prokaryote. Its description in RNAcentral is "partial 16S ribosomal RNA". It matches the Rfam family "Bacterial small subunit ribosomal RNA", at positions 524 to 794 of the family's 1533-position model. The record is from RNAcentral.